Molecule: long non-coding RNA, 413 nt
Filed under: Brassica napus (rape)
Lineage: Eukaryota; Viridiplantae; Streptophyta; Magnoliopsida; Brassicales; Brassicaceae
Description: long non-coding RNA (BNAP_LNC026254)
Source: RNAcentral
ACAAGCACUCCAAGCAACUGGAGCACAGCGCCGAGAACCUCAGCCUGCUUGAAUCGGAGAAUCUAACCCUCCGAGACGAGAACCAAGCCCUCAAUAUGGCAAGUAACAAGAAGCGUCGAUUCUGGGCUCAGAUCCGACCCAUGCCGACUCUGGAGACACCUAACUCCGGGACAGGCACAUCAUUCCCUUCCUCUUCAAAAGAUUUUGUUCCAUGUACUGAUCCAUGGUCUGGGGCACAUCAUUCUCUCCAUCUUCAAAAAGAUUUGUCCUCAAAUCUGUAACAUUAAAAGGAAAAGGGUUAUAAGCAAAAGAAUCAUAAUCAGAACAUUGCUCACCUUGAGUUUGGUUCGGGCUUUGAAUGGAAGAAGGUCCUUCUUGGUUUGCUUGAUGACCGCAGUUUUGUUCUUUAUCUG